Molecule: ribosomal RNA, 473 nt
Filed under: uncultured organism
Description: bacterial SSU rRNA
Rfam family: Bacterial small subunit ribosomal RNA
Source: RNAcentral
AAUGAACGUUGGCGGCGUGGAUUAGGCAUGCAAGUCGUACGCACAGCUUCGGCUGUGAGUGGCGCAAGGGUGAGUAAUGCGAAGGUAACCAACCCUGGAGUUGGGCAUAACCGCGGGAAACUGCGGGUAAUUCCCAGCGAUGUCGCGAGAUGGCAUCAUCUUGCGACCAAAGGUGUGAUUCCGCUCUAGGACGGGCCUUCGUGGUAUUAGGUAGUUGGUGAGGUAACGGCUCACCAAGCCGACGAUGCCUACCGGGUGUGAGAGCAUGACCCGGCACACUGGAACUGAGACACUGUCCAGACACCUACGGGUGGCUGCAGUCGAGAAUCUUCGGCAAUGGGCGAAAGCCUGACCGAGCGACGCCGCGUGAGGGAAGAAGGCCUUCGGGUUGUAAACCUCUUUCGUAGAGGAGGAAGGGGCCGUGCAGAGCGGUCUUUGACCUAUUCUAGGAAGAAGCUUGGGCUAAGUUCGUG